RNAcentral lists this ribosomal RNA (254 nucleotides) under uncultured bacterium. Its description in RNAcentral is "partial 16S ribosomal RNA". It matches the Rfam family "Bacterial small subunit ribosomal RNA", at positions 524 to 776 of the family's 1533-position model. The record is from RNAcentral.
UACGGGGGGAGCAAGCGUUGUUCGGAUUUACUGGGCGUAAAGGGCGCGUAGGCGGCCAGCACAAGUCAGUUGUGAAAUCUCCGAGCUUAACUCGGAAAGGUCAACUGAUACUGUGCGGCUAGAGUGCGGAAGGGGCAACUGGAAUUCUUGGUGUAGCGGUGAAAUGCGUAGAUAUCAAGAGGAACACCUGCGGCGAGGGCGGGUUGCUGGGCCGACACUGACGCUGAGGCGCGAAAGCCAGGGGAGCGAACGGG